GAUGAACGCUGGCGGCGUGCCUAAUACAUGCAAGUCGAGCGAACAGACGAGGAGCUUGCUCCUCUGACGUUAGCGGCGGACGGGUGAGUAACACGUGGAUAACCAACCUAUAAGACUGGGAUAACUUCGGGAAACCGGAGCUAAUACCGGAUAAUAUAUUGAACCGCAUGGUUCAAUAGUGAAAGAGGGUUUUGCUGUCACUUAUAGAUGGAUCCGCGCCGCAUUAGCUAGUUGGUAAGGUAACGGCCUACCAAGGCAACGAUGCGUAGCCGACCGGAGAGGGUGAUCGGCCACACUGGAACUCGGACACGCUCCAGACUCCUACGGGAGGCAGCAGUAGGGAAUCGUCCGCAAUGGGCGAAAGCCUGACGGAGCAACGCCGCGUGAGUGACGAAGGUCUUCGGAUCGUAAAACUCUGUUAUGAGUGAAGAACAAAUGUGUAAGUAACUAUGCACGUCUUGACGGUACCUAAUCAGAAAGCCACGGCUAACUACGUG
This 497-nucleotide ribosomal RNA is filed under the name uncultured bacterium. RNAcentral describes it as "partial 16S ribosomal RNA". It matches the Rfam family "Bacterial small subunit ribosomal RNA", at positions 28 to 507 of the family's 1533-position model. The record is from RNAcentral.